GACGAACGCUGGCGGCGUGCUUAACACAUGCAAGUCGAUCGGAAAGGCCCUGCUUUUGUGGGGUGCUCGAGUGGCGAACGGGUGAGUAACACGUGAGUAACCUGCCCUUGACUUUGGGAUAACUUCAGGAAACUGGGGCUAAUACCGGAUAGGAGCUCCUGCUGCAUGGUGGGGGUUGGAAAGUUUCGGCGGUUGGGGAUGGACUCGCGGCUUAUCAGCUUGUUGGUGGGGUAGUGGCUUACCAAGGCUUUGACGGGUAGCCGGCCUGAGAGGGUGACCGGCCACAUUGGGACUGAGAUACGGCCCAGACUCCUACGGGAGGCAGCAGUGGGGAAUAUUGCACAAUGGGCGGAAGCCUGAUGCAGCAACGCCGCGUGCGGGAUGACGGCCUUCGGGCUGUAAACCGCUUUCGCCUGUGACGAAGCGUGAGUGACGGUAAUGGGUAAAGAAGCACCGGCUAACUACGUG
Molecule: ribosomal RNA, 468 nt
Filed under: uncultured bacterium
Lineage: Bacteria
Description: partial 16S ribosomal RNA
Rfam family: Bacterial small subunit ribosomal RNA
Source: RNAcentral